UGAAUUGCAGAAUCCCGUGAACCAUCGAGUCUUUGAACGCAAGUUGCGCCUGAAGCCAUUAGGCUAAGGGCACGUCUGCCUGGGCGUCGCGCAUCACAUCACCCCUUCCCCCAUAUUGGUGGAUGAGGUG
RNAcentral lists this ribosomal RNA (130 nucleotides) under Myosotidium hortensia. RNAcentral describes it as "5.8S ribosomal RNA". The stretch from base 1 to 89 matches the Rfam family "5.8S ribosomal RNA", at positions 68 to 154 of the family's 154-position model. From Rfam's summary of the family: 5.8S ribosomal RNA (5.8S rRNA) is a component of the large subunit of the eukaryotic ribosome. It is transcribed by RNA polymerase I as part of the 45S precursor that also contains 18S and 28S rRNA. The record is from RNAcentral. Lineage: Eukaryota; Viridiplantae; Streptophyta; Magnoliopsida; Boraginales; Boraginaceae.